This 253-nucleotide ribosomal RNA is filed under the name uncultured bacterium. Its description in RNAcentral is "partial 16S ribosomal RNA". It matches the Rfam family "Bacterial small subunit ribosomal RNA", at positions 524 to 776 of the family's 1533-position model. The record is from RNAcentral.
UACGUAGGGGGCAAGCGUUAUCCGGAUUUACUGGGUGUAAAGGGAGCGUAGGUGGCAUGUCAAGUCAGAUGUGAAAGCCCGGGGCUCAACCCCGGGAUUGCAUUUGAAACUGAUAUGCUAGAGUGCAGGAGAGGUAAGUGGAAUUCCUAGUGUAGCGGUGAAAUGCGUAGAUAUUAGGAGGAGCACCAGUGGCGAAGGCGGCUUACUGGACUGUAACUGACGCUGAGGCGCGAAAGCGUGGGUAGCAAACAGG